AUAACUUCGGGAAACCGGAGCUAAUACCGGAUAAUAUUCGAACCGCAUGGUUCGAUAGUGAAAGGUGGUUUUGCUAUCACUUAUAGAUGGACCCGCGCCGUAUUAGCUAGUUGGUAAGGUAACGGCUUACCAAGGCGACGAUACGUAGCCGACCUGAGAGGGUGAUCGGCCACACUGGAACUGAGACACGGUCCAGACUCCUACGGGAGGCAGCAGCA
RNAcentral lists this ribosomal RNA (218 nucleotides) under uncultured Staphylococcus sp. RNAcentral's name for it is "partial 16S ribosomal RNA". It matches the Rfam family "Bacterial small subunit ribosomal RNA", at positions 143 to 355 of the family's 1533-position model. Lineage: Bacteria; Bacillati; Bacillota; Bacilli; Caryophanales; Staphylococcaceae. The record is from RNAcentral.